RNAcentral lists this ribosomal RNA (253 nucleotides) under uncultured bacterium. Its description in RNAcentral is "partial 16S ribosomal RNA". It matches the Rfam family "Bacterial small subunit ribosomal RNA", at positions 524 to 776 of the family's 1533-position model. The record is from RNAcentral.
UACGAAGGGGGCUAGCGUUGUUCGGAAUUACUGGGCGUAAAGCGCACGUAGGCGGAAUGUUAAGUCAGGGGUGAAAUCCCGGGGCUCAACCCCGGAACUGCCUUUGAUACUGGCAUUCUCGAGUCCGGAAGAGGUGAGUGGAAUUCCGAGUGUAGAGGUGAAAUUCGUAGAUAUUCGGAGGAACACCAGUGGCGAAGGCAGGUCUCUGGGCCACUACUGACGCUGAGAAGCGAGAGCAUGGGGAGCGAACAGG